AUGGCGAACGCCGAGACCCUGGACGACUUCGCUGGCAGACUCGGUGGGAUGGCGGCGCGCUACGCGGCGUUGGGCUCAACCCUGGAGGACGCAGCCCUCGUCAAGAAGCUGCUCGACUCGGUGCCGAACCGCCUGUACCCGGCGGUGGCCGGGAUCGAGCAGUUCUGUGAUGUCGACACCAUGGCGUUCGAGGACGCGCUGGGGCGGCUGAAAGCCUUCGACGAGCGGCUGCGGCGACGCGAUCAGGCAGGCGGCGAGGGCGCGGACGGGCAGCUGCUGUACACCGCGGCACAGUGGCGUGCGCGCGAGCGGCGU
RNAcentral lists this ribosomal RNA (315 nucleotides) under Triticum aestivum (bread wheat). Its description in RNAcentral is "partial small subunit ribosomal RNA". Lineage: Eukaryota; Viridiplantae; Streptophyta; Magnoliopsida; Poales; Poaceae. The record is from RNAcentral.